AUGGGCGACGCCGCCGACGCACCCCGCCGGCGUCGGCUGGACUCAAUUCUCCUCGCCCGGAAACCGCGCCUCACCGACAGCAGGAACGAGACCACGGCCACAGCCGUAUCCAUGGAUGGCUUCACCAUGGCGGUCUCCUUCUGGAUGGCCGACCCGCCGCAGCUGUCCAUCUUCUCCAUCUACUGCUGCCGACCCCCUCAUCUGCAAGCCGGGCCGUACUGCAAUUUCAAAGAUUUGCCACGCGUGGUCGGCGUCGGCGCGGAGGGCCGAUUCGUCCUCUUCCGCGCCGUCUUCGACCGCCGAUACACAUCCGAAUAUUUCCUGUACAAGGCCGGCGAGUCGCCGUCGCUCGAGUGGAUUCCUUCUCCCUACGAGUAUCAUGAUGGCGACCUCCAUGAUCUGCGCGGGGUCAGGGAGUUCGGCGUCCUGCAGCAGCUCGGCGGCCACUAUCUCGUGGCCGCUCUCUGCCUCGACCCGUUGUCGGAUGACUAUCACCUUCGGAUCUACUCGUCCGAGAGAACGUCAUGGAGCACCAGGACACUGCCCAAUCCAUGUCCUGGGGUCGACAGGAUUAUACCCGACAAGGUGAUCACGCUUGGAGAAGAAGGCUUACUAGGGUGGGUUGAUUUGUCACACGGCCUGCUGAUGUGCGACCUGCGUCAAGAUCAUGUGCGUUUCACUUUCAUCCCGUUGCCGGAGCCGUUGCCUGGGAACAGAUACAAACUAAAAGGUCACAUUCCCCCUCCCACCGCAAAGAGAAGCAAAAAAACCAGAGGACGAAUCUCACCCAAAUCUCUGGUGGUUUUGGGAUCUCGCAUGGGUUGA
This 825-nucleotide ribosomal RNA is filed under the name Triticum aestivum (bread wheat). RNAcentral describes it as "partial small subunit ribosomal RNA". Lineage: Eukaryota; Viridiplantae; Streptophyta; Magnoliopsida; Poales; Poaceae. The record is from RNAcentral.